UGUACGUUUUCCAAGCUAACUGGCUGGGGUCUCAAGAGAGCAGAGCAGAGGGGGAAAAUCACCUCUCUCGACCUGCUGGCCAUGCUGCUUUUGAUGCAGCCCAGGAUACGGUUGGCUUUCUGGGCUACAAGUGCACAUUGCUGUUUCACAUAGAGCUUUUCAUCCACCAGUACCCCCAAGCACUUCUCUGCAGGGCAAUUCGCCAUAAUUUGCCCUUUUGCCUAGAACAAAGCAAGGAAGCUGCAAAUCUUCCUAGUCAGUGUAUUACUGGGAUGAAGGUGGGAUUUGCUGUUAGCUGUUGCUAUCAAGGGGUUGAACUGAGGGCCACGUUCCCGGAGAACAUUAGAUACUGAGUUCCUAAAAUGGCCACCAGAACUCAGUCUGAAUGGUGAUGACCUCUGUACAGAGAAUGGGGAGCAAUGCAGAAGAGACCGACAAAAAACCUGCUGAGACAGCCGGUCCUGUGCCUGAGAAAAGUGCCCUUCUUCUCUGGGGACUCCUUGGACAAAACUGCUGAAAGCCUUCUGACACCUUUGCUUGUUUUCCUGAUCAUCGGGGUGGACUGUUCAUGGAGGAGGUGAUCCAUGAAUAUCAAUUGAUUCUCCUGAACCCCUGUUCUCCCAAGUGUCAUCUCCCAUGGGAUUUCUCCAAGAAGACCCCUGAAGAGACCAAAAUCUACUUUCCUGAAAUUUGUUGCUGUGAUCCUGCUUUUUGCCUUGUUCCUUCCUCUCAGGACCCUGAACUCCACCAUCUCCUGAAUACUGCAGAAGCAGUACCAGGAAGGCUUCCGAAGAGAUCAGCACCAUGGACAGAAACUGAGCUGCCUCCUGGUGCUCAAAUGCGACCCGAGAAAUAUGAACGUGUAGAUGCCGAAAGCCUCCCCAAGGACUGAUUGCCAAAACAAACCCUAGCCUGCAGCAGAGCCUAUCACUGACAUCAUAUACCAGCUUCAGUCACCCCAAUAUCCCAUUUGGUGGGAGCAAGCAGUGAAAGAUGUCAGUGUAUGAAUUUCUCCUGUGUCCUAAGACCUCAGAAUAUACACAACAGUGAAAAAUGAAGUAAAUCAUGCUUUACAAGCUAAAUAAACCACUUUAACACUGCU
Cygnus olor (mute swan) is the source of this 1102-nucleotide long non-coding RNA. RefSeq lists it as uncharacterized. NCBI's taxonomy places the organism in Eukaryota, Metazoa, Chordata, Aves, Anseriformes, Anatidae. The transcript has 3 exons. The record is from RefSeq and is a predicted model, not a curated record.